This 536-nucleotide ribosomal RNA is filed under the name uncultured bacterium. Its description in RNAcentral is "bacterial SSU rRNA". It matches the Rfam family "Bacterial small subunit ribosomal RNA", at positions 355 to 896 of the family's 1533-position model. The record is from RNAcentral.
UAGGGAAUUUUCGGCAAUGGGGGCAACCCUGACCGAGCAACGCCGCGUGAGUGAAGACGGCCUUCGGGUUGUAAAGCUCUGUUGUAAGGGAAGAACGGUAGAUAGAGAAUAUCUAAGUGACGGUACCUUACCAGAAAGCCACGGCUAACUACGUGCCAGCAGCCGCGGUAGUACGUAGGUGGCGAGCGUUAUCCGGAAUUAUUGGGCGUAAAGGGUGCGUAGGCGGCCUGUUAAGUAAGUGGUUAAAUUGUUGGGCUCAACCCAAUCCAGCCACUUAAACUGGCAGGCUAGAGUAUUGGAGAGGCAAGUGGAAUUCCAUGUGUAGCGGUAAAAUGCGUAGAUAUAUGGAGGAACACCAGUGGCGAAGGCGGCUUGCUAGCCAAAGACUGACGCUCAUGCACGAAAGCGUGGGGAGCAAAUAGGAUUAGAUACCCUAGUAGUCCACGCCGUAAACGAUGAAUACUAAGUAUUGGGGAAACUCAGUGCUGCAGCUAACGCAAUAAGUAUUCCGCCUGUGGAGUAUGCACGCAAGUGUG